GCCGGUCACCAGGCGGCGCCACAUUUUUUGGAAAAAGGUGGAGGGGCACCCUUGGAGAAUGGCCUUAAAUUGUCUUAAAAAAUCUUUAAAUUUCUGAUACUUAUGCAUACAUAACCCUAGUAGCAUUGUCUUAAGCAAGUUACUUGACGAAGUGCUUCAGUAAGUUUCUCAUGAAGAUUUAAACAAGAAGAUGGAUUUCAUUUCAAGUAUACUUUCAUAGAUCAAGUCUUGCUUAAGAUUUUGCUUGAAGACUUACGAAAAUCUGUAGGAACUGCAGCAAUUCUUGAAUAAUAUAUGUAAUGUAUAACAAUGUUUAGCCAGAGCUGCUGCAGAAUUGCUUAAUAGGGGUUUUACAUCUCCAAGCUCGAACGCAGUUCCUUUAGCGAACCCAGUGAUCAUUCAAAUUUACAAUGCUAUAAGUUAACAAUGGUAUUACUUGAUAAAAUUACAUCAAACACUAAGUGAAUCGUUUAUUUGAGAAACCCCAUAAGUCAUGUUUUUUCGAAAUUGGGUUUUUUGCAUUUUUGGGUUCUUUGGAUGUCCCCAUAGAAAUUAAUAAAAAUAUCCAUCAAAUCAGUGUUUAAAAAACAAUCAACGGGGUGACAGAAAUUUUAUUUUAUUGAGAAACCCCAUAAGUCAAUGACUUAUGGAGUUUUUCAAAUAAACAUGCAGUUUUAGUUUUAUAGAAAUAAUUUUUUCUUUUUUAUUUAAAAUUCGCGCUUUUUUUGGAAAAAAAAUAAUAUGACUAAUUAAAAUACUUAAAUUAAUUAUUAAUUUUAUAAUUUCUGAGUUUCAGAGUUUAAGUGCAUAUUAUAUACUUCAUUUUAUCAGUCUAAUAAAUUAUUUGAGUGGAAAAAAUAAAAAAAAACAAUGAUUUUAUAACUUUUUCUUCCGUUUGGUUGAGAAACCCCAUAAGUCAAUCAACUUUAAAUAAUUUUUUUAAGUAGUUUCAAUUAAAAAAUUGAAUUUUUUUUGUUUGAAUAUUUUUUAGACGCUAACAUUAUUCUCUUCAAUUAUUUAUUUAUUAUUUCAAUGGCAAGUUUUGUCCAGAAAAAUUUUUCUUGUGUUUCCUGAAAAAUUUUGUUUUCUUGACUUAUGGGCUUUCUCAAAUAGAUCGAAGUGGGCGCCACUAAAUUUACUAUACUAAUGCUGACUAGAUGACUCACGAAGUAACAAAGAGAGCAGCUAUGUCCUGGUUUCUUAAGCAAUUUUGCAGCAAGUGAGCUAAUAGUUCGUAAGCAUGACUACAGAUUUACUUUACGUAUCUUAUGGAAGUAUUUUGCCUCAGAUUUAUUUAAGACUGAAUGCAGAUUUGCUGAAGACAAGAUACAGAUUUAUGUAAGACUUCCUUAAGAAAGCUACUAGGGUAGUAUAAAAAACUACUGUUAAAAUUUUUGUUAAAAUAUAUUUACAUAUCGUCGUAAAAACUAAAACAGUCAAAAGUACUGAUAUCGCUUCAGGAACUCGUGGAUGCUGUGAUUGAAGACACAACUCUCUGACAAGUUGAUGUUUCAAUAUCUGAUCCAUUCUCUUUGAGAACUGGCAACUUUUCAAGCACAAUCGGUAGAGAUAAUAAUGAUCCUAAA
This is a long non-coding RNA of Microplitis demolitor, 1586 nucleotides long. RefSeq lists it as uncharacterized. The record is from RefSeq and is a predicted model, not a curated record. The transcript is spliced from 3 exons. Lineage: Eukaryota; Metazoa; Arthropoda; Insecta; Hymenoptera; Braconidae.